CAACACCACUAUCACCUCCAAUUUCACCAGCACUACCACCUAGAACACCACCACCAUCACCACCACCACCACCUUUAUCACCUCCAAUUUCACCAGCACUGCCACCUACACCACCACCACCACCACCUUUAUCACCUCCAAUUUCACCAGCACUGCCACCUAGAACACCACCACCACCAAAAACACCUCCUCCACCAAUUACACCAGCACCAUUAUCACCUCCAAUUUCACCAGCACUACCACCUAGAACACCACCACCACCACCGCCACCUUUAUCACCUCCAAUUUCACCAGCACUGCCACCUAGAACACCACCACCACCACCACCUUUAUCACCUCCAAUUUCACCAGCACUACCACCUAGAACACCACCACCACCAUCACCACCACCUUUAUCACCUCCAAUUUCACCAGCACUGCCACCUAGAACACCACCACCACCACCUUUAUCACCUCCAAUUUCACCAGCACUGCCACCUAAAACACCACCACCACCAAAAACACCUCCUCCACCAAUUACACCAGCACCAUUAUCACCUCCAAUUUCACCAGCACUACCACCUAGAACACCACCACCACCACCACCUUUAUCACCUCUUAUUUCACCAGCACUACC
Molecule: long non-coding RNA, 616 nt
Filed under: Selaginella moellendorffii
Lineage: Eukaryota; Viridiplantae; Streptophyta; Lycopodiopsida; Selaginellales; Selaginellaceae
Description: long non-coding RNA (SMOE_LNC000822)
Source: RNAcentral